UUUCUUUGCUGGCGACCGGCGCACGGGUGAGUAACACGUAUCCAACCUGCCCUUUACUCGGGGAUAGCCUUUCGAAAGAAAGAUUAAUACCCGAUAGCAUAAUGAUUCCGCAUGGUUUCAUUAUUAAAGGAUUCCGGUAAAGGAUGGGGAUGCGUCCCAUUAGGUUGUUGGUGAGGUAACGGCUCACCAAGCCUUCGAUGGAUAGGGGUUCUGAGAGGAAGGUCCCCCACAUUGGAACUGAGACACGGUCCAA
RNAcentral lists this ribosomal RNA (253 nucleotides) under uncultured bacterium. RNAcentral describes it as "partial 16S ribosomal RNA". It matches the Rfam family "Bacterial small subunit ribosomal RNA", at positions 80 to 334 of the family's 1533-position model. The record is from RNAcentral.